Molecule: ribosomal RNA, 253 nt
Filed under: uncultured bacterium
Lineage: Bacteria
Description: partial 16S ribosomal RNA
Rfam family: Bacterial small subunit ribosomal RNA
Source: RNAcentral
UACGUAGGGUGCAAGCGUUAUCCGGAAUUAUUGGGCGUAAAGAGCUCGUAGGCGGUUUGUCGCGUCUGCUGUGAAAACUGGAGGCUCAACCUCCAGCCUGCAGUGGGUACGGGCAAACUAGAGUGCGGUAGGGGAGAUUGGAAUUCCUGGUGUAGCGGUGGAAUGCGCAGAUAUCAGGAGGAACGCCGAUGGCGAAGGCAGAUCUCUGGGCCGUAACUGACGCUGAGGAGCGAAAGCAUGGGGAGCGAACAGG